RNAcentral lists this ribosomal RNA (253 nucleotides) under uncultured prokaryote. RNAcentral describes it as "partial 16S ribosomal RNA". It matches the Rfam family "Bacterial small subunit ribosomal RNA", at positions 525 to 777 of the family's 1533-position model. The record is from RNAcentral.
ACGGGGGGGGCAAGCGUUGUUCGGAAUUACUGGGCGUAAAGGGCUCGUAGGUGGCCAACUAAGUCGGACGUGAAAUCCCUCGGCUUAACCGGGGAACUGCGUCCGAUACUGGUUGGCUUGAGUUUGGGAGAGGGAUGCGGAAUUCCAGGUGUAGCGGUGAAAUGCGUAGAUAUCCGGAGGAACACCGGUGGCGAAGGCGGCUUCCUGGACCGACACUGACGCUGAGGCGCGAAAGCUAGGGGAGCAAACGGGA